This 497-nucleotide ribosomal RNA is filed under the name uncultured bacterium. RNAcentral describes it as "partial 16S ribosomal RNA". It matches the Rfam family "Bacterial small subunit ribosomal RNA", at positions 28 to 507 of the family's 1533-position model. The record is from RNAcentral.
GAUGAACGCUGGCGGCGUGCCUAAUACAUGCAAGUCGAGCGAACGGACGAGAAGCUUGCUUCUCUGAUGUUAGCGGCGGACGGGUGAGUAACACGUGGAUAACCUACCUAUAAGACUGGGAUAACUUCGGGAAACCGGAGCUAAUACCGGAUAAUAUUUUGAACCGCAUGGUUCAAAAGUGAAAGACGGUCUUGCUGUCACUUAUAGAUGGAUCCGCGCUGCAUUAGCUAGUUGGUAAGGUAACGGCUUACCAAGGCAACGAUGCAUAGCCGACCUGAGAGGGUGGUCGGCCACACUGGAACUGAGACACGGUCCCGACUCCUACGGGAGGCAGCAGUAGGGAAUCUUCCGCAAUGGGCGAAAGCCUGACGGAGCAACGCCGCGUGAGUGAUGAAGGUCUUCGGAUCGUAAAACUCUGUUAUUAGGGAAGAACAUAUGUGUAAGUAACUGUGCACAUCUUGACGGUACCUAAUCAGAAAGCCACGGCUAACUACGUG